Molecule: ribosomal RNA, 253 nt
Filed under: uncultured bacterium
Lineage: Bacteria
Also listed under: 1 other name
Description: partial 16S ribosomal RNA
Rfam family: Bacterial small subunit ribosomal RNA
Source: RNAcentral
UACGGAGGGUGCAAGCGUUAUCCGGAUUCACUGGGUUUAAAGGGUGCGUAGGUGGGUUGAUAAGUCAGUGGUGAAAUCCCCGAGCUUAACUUGGGAACUGCCAUUGAUACUAUUGAUCUUGAAUACCGUGGAGGUCAGCGGAAUAUGUCAUGUAGCGGUGAAAUGCUUAGAUAUGACAUAGAACACCAAUUGCGAAGGCAGCUGGCUACGCGAAUAUUGACACUGAUGCACGAAAGCGUGGGGAUCAAACAGG